Molecule: ribosomal RNA, 541 nt
Filed under: uncultured bacterium
Lineage: Bacteria
Description: bacterial SSU rRNA
Rfam family: Bacterial small subunit ribosomal RNA
Source: RNAcentral
UGGCGGCGCGCCUACACAUGCAAGUCGAACGAGAAAGUCCGCAAGGAUGAGUAAAGUGGCGUACGGGUGAGUAACACGUGGAUAACCUGCCCUUUAGUGGGGAAUACCGCUGGGAAACCGGCGACAAUACCGCAUAAGCUCGAGAGAGGAAAGCAGCAAUGCGCUGAAGGAGGGGUCCGCGGCCGAUUAGCUAGUUGGCAGGGUAAAAGCCUACCAAGGCUGUGAUCGGUAGCCGGCCUGAGAGGGCACACGGCCACACUGGCACUGAAACACGGGCCAGACUCCUACGGGAGGCAGCAGUGGGGAAUCUUGCACAAUGGGGGAAACCCUGAUGCAGCGACGCCGCGUGAGCGAUGAAGCCCUUCGGGGUGUAAAGCUCUUUCGGCAGGGACGAUUAUGACGGUACCUGCAGAAGCAGCUGCGGCUAACUACGUGCCAGCAGCCGCGGUAAUACGUAGGCAGCAAGCGUUGUUCGGAGUUACUGGGCGUAAAGGGUGCGUANGCGGCUUCUUAAGUCUGGUGUGAAAUCUCCCGGCUCAAC